GACGAACGCUGGCGGCGUGCUUAACACAUGCAAGUCGAACGGAAAGGCCCUGCUUGCAGGGUACUCGAGUGGCGAACGGGUGAGUAACACGUGGGUGAUCUGCCCUGCACUUCGGGAUAAGCCUGGGAAACUGGGUCUAAUACCGGAUAGGAGCCAUUUUUAGUGUGAUGGUUGGAAAGUUUUUUCGGUGUAGGAUGAGCUCGCGGCCUAUCAGCUUGUUGGUGGGGUAAUGGCCUACCAAGGCGGCGACGGGUAGCCGGCCUGAGAGGGUGGACGGCCACAUUGGGACUGAGAUACGGCCCAGACUCCUACGGGAGGCAGCAGUGGGGAAUAUUGCACAAUGGGCGCAAGCCUGAUGCAGCGACGCCGCGGGGGGGAUGACGGCCUUCGGGUUGGAAACUCCUUUCGCUAGGGACGAAGCUUUUUGUGACGGUACCUAGAUAAGAAGCACCGGCUAACUACGUG
This 465-nucleotide ribosomal RNA is filed under the name uncultured bacterium. RNAcentral describes it as "partial 16S ribosomal RNA". It matches the Rfam family "Bacterial small subunit ribosomal RNA", at positions 28 to 507 of the family's 1533-position model. The record is from RNAcentral.